Molecule: long non-coding RNA, 400 nt
Filed under: Mytilus galloprovincialis (Mediterranean mussel)
Lineage: Eukaryota; Metazoa; Mollusca; Bivalvia; Mytilida; Mytilidae
Source: RNAcentral
UGUUGCUGGAGCAGUGUCAGAUCGUUGGGAGAUUAACACAGUAUAUUUAAGGACAUCACAUAGAUUAUUUGAUGAUACUGGUAUAUCAGAAACCCAGUCAUCAUAUGUACACCAAAAAGAGUGAGGAAAAUUUCUCAAAGCACAAAAUACAGGGAGACACAAAUUCUGUUACAGCAAAUGGCUAAGUUCAUCUGAAGCUUCUGGUGGCGCAUAUUACUGAACAGAGAGUUGGAUGUUAUUCAGAGCAUUACAAAUGGGAAGAAGUGUAUGGUUCUUGAAGUUAUAGAUUCUGAUUCUGUGGAAAGUACAAGUGGCAAUGAACAUGAACAAACACACAUACAUGUUAAUGAGGAUAUUGAAGACAUCAAUGAUGAUAUAAAUGUAACAGACAAUAAAGAAA